AACACGAUAUGCGGUUCACAGCAGGCAUCUAACGUGAACGAAAUGUGAAGGAGAAGGAUGGGGAUGCGUCUGAUUAGCUUGUUGGCGGGGUAACGGCCCACCAAGGCGACGAUCAGUAGGGGUUCUGAGAGGAAGGUCCCCCACAUUGGAACUGAGACACGGUCCAAACUCCUACGGGAGGCAGCAGUGAGGAAUAUUGGUCAAUGGACGAGAGUCUGAACCAGCCAAGUAGCGUGCAGGAUGACGGCCCUAUGGGUUGUAAACUGCUUUUAUAGGGGGAUAAAGUGUGCCACGUGUGGCAUAUUGCAGGUACCCUAUGAAUAAGGACCGGCUAAUUCCGUGCCAGCAGCCGCGGUAAUACGGAAGGUCCGGGCGUUAUCCAGAUUUAUUGGGUUUAAAGGGAGCGUAGGCCGUCUUAUAAGUGUGUUGUGAAAUGUCGGGGCUCAACCUGGGCAUUGCAGCGCGAACUGUGAGCCUUGAGUGCGCAGGAAGUAGGCGGAAUUCGUCGUGUAGCGGUGAAAUGCUUAGAUAUGACGAAGAACUCCGAUUGCGAAGGCAGCCCGCUGUAGCGCAACUGACGCUGAAGCUCGAAAGCGUGGGUAUCGAACAGG
RNAcentral lists this ribosomal RNA (611 nucleotides) under uncultured bacterium. RNAcentral's name for it is "bacterial SSU rRNA". It matches the Rfam family "Bacterial small subunit ribosomal RNA", at positions 165 to 776 of the family's 1533-position model. The record is from RNAcentral.